GACGAACGCUGGCGGCGUGCCUAAUACAUGCAAGUCGUGCGGACCUUGUUGAAAGCUUGCUUUUAAAAGGUUAGCGGCGGCCGGGUGAGUAACACGUGGGCAACCUGCCUGUAAGACUGGGAUAACGCCGGGAAACCGGGGCUAAUACCAGAUCGUUUUUUCCUCCGCAUGGAGGAAAAAGGAAAGGCGGCUUCGGCUGCCACUUACAGAUGGGCCCGCGGCGCAUUAGCUAGUUGGCGGGGUAAUGGCCCACCAAGGCAACGAUGCGUAGCCGACCUGCGAGGGUGGUCGGCCACAUUGGGACUGAGACACGGCCCAAACUCCUACGGGAGGCAGCAGUAGGGAAUCUUCCGCAAUGGACGAAAGUCUGACGGAGCAACGCCGCGUGAGGGAAGAAGGCCUUCGGGUCGUAAAACUCUGUUGCCGGGGAAGAACAAGUGCCGUUCGAACAGGGCGGCGCCUUGACGUUACCCGGCCAGAAAGCCACGGCUAACUACGUG
RNAcentral lists this ribosomal RNA (500 nucleotides) under uncultured bacterium. Its description in RNAcentral is "partial 16S ribosomal RNA". It matches the Rfam family "Bacterial small subunit ribosomal RNA", at positions 28 to 507 of the family's 1533-position model. The record is from RNAcentral.